Long non-coding RNA from Homo sapiens (human), 2688 nucleotides. RefSeq lists it as uncharacterized. NCBI's taxonomy places the organism in Eukaryota, Metazoa, Chordata, Mammalia, Primates, Hominidae. The record is from RefSeq and is a predicted model, not a curated record. The transcript is spliced from 5 exons.
UCGGGCCAGGGACUAGGGCGGGGCCUGCGAAGGAGAGAGGGAAUGAGGCUGGAGGCGGGGCCAGAACCGGGAAGUUGAUUAGACAGUGAGGGUGGGGCCAGCACCCGCGCCCAGAUGGGAUCUGGCUGGCUAUGGGGCCUGGGAGGGGGCCUUCACCGCGCUGAGCGACAGGAGGCCGGGUCCCCACCGCCUAAUCUCUGUCAUCCACCUGGGCAGGUCUGAGGCCCAGAGAAAGGGCCGCCGCCUGCCCCCUACACCCCCUGGGGUUCCCCGGACCCUCACAGGUGUUGUAGGCCUUCUUAUGGGACAGGAUCUCCACCACCUCCUUCUUCCGGAAGGGCUCCGGCCCCGGCACCGGUUCUGGAAAAGAAACUGACAGUUUACGGAGGCGGCUAGGCUGAGGCUGCAGUGGGAAGGCCCAGGGGUGGCGUGGUCACAGCCAACAGCCACUAUCCCCCUAAGCACGACCUCGACUUAAUCAGCUACACGUCCAUAGUCCCUUCAUUCCUCAGGUCGGGGACCUUCAGGUCCUGUGUGUAACCUCCCCCGCCCCGUGUCCUGUGCACUCCCCGUGCUGCAGGAAGCCAGGUCUUUCUGUUCCAUCCUGGGACCGCCUGUUCCACCCAUCAACGACAGGGAGAUACCCAGGAAGGGGUGAGGGCAAGAGAGCCUGGAAGAUGUAUUUGUGGAUGCCUCCUGUCUACGGUGUGACUGAGCAAAUUACCUGACCUCUCUGUGCUUCCUCAUUAGGAAGUGGGGGGUGAUCACAUUAUGUACAUCACAGAGUUGCCAUGGGAUUUAGAAAUGAGAGUCCCUGGUGUUUGAUCACUGCACAGUAAAUGCCAGCUUUUUUUUUUUUUUUUUUUUUAGACGGGGUCUCACUGUGUCACCCAGGUUACCAGGUCGGAGUGCAGUGGUGUGAUCGCGGCUCACUGCAACCUCCACCUCCGAGGCUCAAUCGAUCCUCCCAACUCAGCCUCCCAAGUAGCUGGGACCACAGACAUCCUCCAUGUGCCUGGCUAAUUUUUUGUAUUUUCGGUAGAGACAAGGGUUUCGCCACGUUGCCCAGGCUGGUCUCGAACCCCUGAGCUCAGGCGAUCCACCCACCUCAGCCUCCCAAAGUGCUGGGAUGACAGGCGUGAGCCACUGUGCCCGGCCUAAAUGCCAGCUAUUAAAUAACUCAGGGACUGAAGGCUUGAGGACGCAUCAGGUUAAAUAGUAGUCAGUGCAGCCCUGGGAGAUGCUAAGCCUGGGGCUGCCACAGAUGGUGUGGUAUCUGGGGUUCCCCCAAGGCCAUCAGGCCACUCACUAGCAGGUUUCUGGGUGCCGAAGUGGAGCUCCAGGUCGAGGUAUUUCACCAUGUCACUCAGCUUAUCGUAGUCAGAGUCUUCCCCGAGCUGCGAGGGAGGAUGGGAGGUUCAGAGUAGGAGGAGCAGCAGCAGCUGGACUGGCCUCCCACUUCCCACCCUCUGAGGGCUGCCAUAGGGGCUUCCCGAGCAAAAGCACCCAUCAGGUGCUGGGAUAAAGCCCGGAGCAGGAGGAGACUGCAGGAGAAGCCAGAUCAUCCGAGUCACCGGGUGCUGAGCCAGCGCCUCCUGGGGUCAAUCGAGACUCAAGACUUGGAACACUACUCGUGCAGAAGCCAGCAAGGUCUCCUUGGAGAGCGGUGAGUUCACCAGGGCUGCCCUGGGCAGAGUGAGCUGGUGCUGAGAGAACUGCAACUGUGACAGCCUAGGGGCCAGACGCUGGACACGUGGCUGUGAUGAAUGGCAUAGAUGAGAGACCGCCACACCUCGCCUCACCCGCCUCCCUCCACACCUGCUUGCGUGCCCACCUCCUCGUAGUCGUUCUCCGGGGUCAGGAAAUCAUCCACGAUGGUGACCCGGGGGCCCAGCUGCUCGCUCAGCACGUCCAGGAAGCGAGAUGGGGCCUCACUAUGUUGCCAGGCUGGUCUCAAACUCCUGGGCUCCAUUGAUCCUCCUGCCUCGGCCUCCCAAAGUGCUGGGAUUACAGGCACGACCCACGGUACCCAGGCUACUUUCUUGAUCCACAGCUGAGGAGAAACCAGGCCAUACAGAGAUAGGAGCUGAAGGGACACGGUGAGAAGUGACCAAAAGACAAGAGUGUGAGCCCUCCGUUAUGCCUGGACAGGGCCACUAGAGGGCUCCCUGGUCUACUGGUAACGCCAGUGCCUGGGAAGGCACCCGUUGCUUAGCAGACCGGGAAAGGGAGUCUCCCUUUCCUGGUGGAGUUAAAGAAGACUCUGCUCCACCACUGCUUGCCCGCCCGCAGCCACCCAGAGGCCUAACGCUGUCCCUGUGAUGCUGUGCUUCAGUGGUCACGCUCCUGGUCCGCAUUCAUGUUCUGCCCUGUGCACUCGGCUCCACCUUCUAGAUAGCAGCAGCAGAAUUAGUGAAAGUACUAAAGUCUUUAAAAUGCAUAGAAGAAAUAAUUACGUAAGCUGUCCCCUCUUUCUCUCCGCCUCAGCUACCAAAUAGGGAAGGGCCCCCUGUCUGGCGGACACGUGACUCACAUGACCUUACCUAUCAUUGGAGAUGACUCUCACUCCAUACCCUGCCCCUUUGCCUUGUACACAAUAAAUAACAGCACGGCCAGGCAUUCGGGGCCACUACUGGUCUCCGCGUCUUGGUGGUAGUGGUCCCCCGGGCCCAGCUGUCUUUUCUUCUA